AUUAAUUUCAGGUCCUCAGGGCAGGAUGUUUCCUUGGUACCAGUCAAGACCAAGAGCUACCAGCAGUAGUGGAAGCUGACAGCACGCACGGCCAGGCUUUGUCACCAGGAGACAAUAAAUCCUGGCUGCCAGUUACAGAACACCCACCCUUAGGUGUAACAUUUGAGAUGAGGAUGAAGCCACACUGGGUGUGGAGAGGCAGCGGCAGGAGGUGUCUACUCCACAGUCCCUGGCCCCCUGCAAUGUGAAGUCAGAAGGAUGAUUUAGGUUCUGUCCAGUGAUGUGACACAGCUUCCAGAACGUUCCUCACAGCAGGUGCCCUGAAAGCCCAGACCCAGCCGGCAGGUCACUUGCUGAGCUGCUACUUGAACAUCCAGAGGCAUCAUUCAGAGUGAAGAGAGAGGCUGUUUCUUCAAAGGCAGGCGUGCUGGACGGAAGAAAACCACUGUGUCCACGAUCGUGUCCAAAUAAACAGAGUUAAUGUAAUGAAGAAGUUCCUUCGGAGCUCUGGGUCAGAUCUUCUCACUGAGAGAACUCAAGAGGGGAAUCAUCAGGUAACCCCAACGGCCUGGAAGCCAAGGAAGGCAGUGUACAGCCUGUGCCGUGGAUGGAUGGAGAGGAGACAAGAUGCCGCGGCCAUAGAGAACUGCCCCGUGUGGACAGCACUGCCCGGUGGACUAGGAAUUGCCAUGGAAUUGGAAAGCAGAAGGGGGAGGUCUGUGUUGUCUGUGGAUCUUCCGUCUAGAGUGGCCCUGGGCCCAAGCUGAAUCCCCCAGCUUGAAAAGGCCAGUGUGAGUCAUCAGUCCCACCCAUACUUUGCCUUUUGAGGUGCUGGGGCAAGCAGGGGCAGAGAGCGUCUGCACUCUGUACAGACUAAGGAGGCAGGCAGCAACAGGAACACUCCUACAAAUGAGCUUAAUAGCAGUGCGUGGGCCCACACCUGUAAUCCCAGCCAUCAGAAAGCAGAAGCAGAAUUGGGAGCUCCAGGCCAGCCUGAACGACACAAAAAGACCAUCUCAAAACAAAUGAACAAAGAAACAAAAUCAAGAGGAGUUUAGUUUUGUGUCCCCAGAGAAGAUUCAGAGCUGAAGAAAGACCUAGACAUAGACAGUCAGAGGGGCUUGUUCUCUAGCUAAACCCCAGAUAAGACCUGAGAUUCCUGAUAGUUGAUCCUAAGAGUGUAUUGACUCAGUGACUGUUGAUAUAUUAGAACCCUAGUCCGAAUUCAAAGUCAUAUAGAAACUGAAACUUAAAAGAAUCUUCUGCCGGGCAUUGGUGGUGCACGCGUUUAAUCCCAGCACUCGGGAGGCAGAGGCAGGUGGAUCUCUGUGAGUUUGAAACCAGCCUGGUCUACAAGAGCUAGUUCUAGGACAGGCUUCAACGCCACAGAGAAACCCUAUCUCGAAAAACCACAAGAAAAGAAAAAAAUUUAAAUAAAUAAAAGAAUCUUCUAGAACUUUGACAUCUAAAAAUGGGUCCAACCUCAGGUAAAUUUGGAUGUUGUGCGUUGAGUAUGGCAGUGUACAUCUGUAAUCUUGGCCCUUGGAAGGCUGACUCAGGAAGACAAGGAAUACAUGAGAUCCAUGAAACCCUGCCCUUCUAAUACCUCCUUUGUAACUCUCCGAACCUAGGAGUGAUGUGUGUUUGGACUUCAUGGAAUGGCUUGCAAGACCACAGAUACGAAAAGUUCCAUUCUGCAAGCUAGUAGUGUGACUCAAGCUAAGAAGUGGGAAGCCUCAACCAAAGAGGCAAGGAUACAGCCCACAGGCAGAAGCCAAAGACCUAAAGCAUCAAUGGGCACUGGUGGGAAUCUCAGAGCAUAAAGACUCCAAGGAACCUGGCUUCUGAAGACGGAGAGCAGACAAUGGCUAACUCAGACAAUUGCUUCUUCUUCCUGGGCCCAGCCCUGUCCACACAGGGAGCAGUUCUUUUCCACUCGGUUGGCUCUGUCUCUGGAAACACUCUCACUGGCAUGCCCAGAGGUGCGGUACACACUACCUUCACGCAUCACUUGAUCGUGUCAACACUGGAAUUUUGUUAGCCACUCCGCUGCCAAAUUAGCCACCACACAACUGAAACAACAUAAACCCAAUUCAGACCAGCAAAUGUAUCUUCAACCAAGUGAGCUCAGCAAAUAUUUCUUCCUUUCCACCCUCUGCACAGGCAUGGGAGGAUUACAGCUUUCCAUUCCCACUGACAUUUUGUUGACUAAAUGACUUACUUUGCUUCUCCUAAUGUAGACGAUACAACAGAAGCUUGACAUGAGUGAGCCAAGUCCCUAGUUAACCUUUCUUGAAUGCAUAGCAAGAAACAAACCUUCAAGGCAUAUGCCACUAUUCAUCUCCACACUCUAUUAUUUUAUCCCUACAGAACCCGGUGAGGGUUUCUCUGUGUAGCUUUGGAGCCUGUCCAGCACGAGGCCAAACUUGAAAAUGCAGAUUGCACUGAAGCUUUGCUGAACAGUUGCAACCCACGAAAACUCAGCAAGUGUGUGUCAACUCAUUUCUAAUCUACUCACUGAAAGUCAGAAAAGUCCCUUUUAGAUGUGAGAACUCAGCAAGAUGCUAAGGGACUCUGUCUCCUUCUGUCCCAACCAGACAUUGAAAUACAGUGACACACCUCACAGCAGCACUUUGGUCAAGGAUGGGCUGCUUGUGACAUGGAGAUCCUGCAAUGUGUUGAUUGGUGACUUUGAAAAACAACGGUUUGUGUAAGCGUGUGCUCCAUGAUGCUUACACGGUGACAAAGUCACCUAGUGAGGUAUUUCUCAGAACAGAUCCCUUUUGUUAAGCCAUGCAUAACUGCCAUCAAUGCCAUAUCUCGACGGUCCUGCCACCCUUCCUGGCAACGUUGCAGUAUCAAACACUUUGGGAAGUGACAGAGGCCUUCCUUGGCUGCAGUAGCCCUCCGUCCGCAUCAGCACCGAUGUGGAGGACUCGG
Molecule: long non-coding RNA, 2940 nt
Filed under: Cricetulus griseus (Chinese hamster)
Lineage: Eukaryota; Metazoa; Chordata; Mammalia; Rodentia; Cricetidae
Description: lncRNA (ENSCGRG00015032030.1)
Source: RNAcentral